Molecule: non-coding RNA, 86 nt
Filed under: Desulforamulus putei
Lineage: Bacteria; Bacillati; Bacillota; Clostridia; Eubacteriales; Peptococcaceae
Also listed under: 1 other name
Description: Desulfotomaculum putei c-di-GMP sequence
Rfam family: c-di-GMP-I riboswitch aptamer
About the family: GEMM was predicted in a large-scale screen for bacterial structured RNA regulatory elements. Genes associated with GEMM are involved in a diverse array of functions, including chemotaxis regulation, signal transduction, secretion and chitin.
Source: RNAcentral
CACUGAAAAAGGCAAACUUGGCGAAAGCUAAGGACGCAAAGCCACGGGUCUAAUGCAACCAAUGCUAUGACAGCCGGGCUGCCAGG